CGCGUAGGCGGUUGAGUAAGUCAAAUGUGAAAUCCCCGGGCUUAACCUGGGAACUGCAUUCGAUACUGCUUAACUGGAGUAUGGUAGAGGGAAGUGGAAUUCCGGGUGUAGCGGUGAAAUGCGUAGAUAUCCGGAGGAACACCAGUGGCGAAGGCGACUUCCUGGGCCAAUACUGACGCUGAGGUGCGAAAGCGUGGGGAGCAAACA
RNAcentral lists this ribosomal RNA (207 nucleotides) under uncultured bacterium. Its description in RNAcentral is "partial 16S ribosomal RNA". It matches the Rfam family "Bacterial small subunit ribosomal RNA", at positions 568 to 774 of the family's 1533-position model. The record is from RNAcentral.